This 498-nucleotide ribosomal RNA is filed under the name uncultured bacterium. RNAcentral describes it as "partial 16S ribosomal RNA". It matches the Rfam family "Bacterial small subunit ribosomal RNA", at positions 899 to 1397 of the family's 1533-position model. The record is from RNAcentral.
ACUCAAAUGAAUAGACGGGGACCCGCACAAGCGGUGGAUUAUGUGGAUUAAUUCGAUGCAACGCGAAAAACCUUACCUACCCUUGACAUGUCGCGAAGGCCUCUGAGAGGAGGCUGUGCCCGAAAGGGAACGCGAACACAGGUGCUGCAUGGCUGUCGUCAGCUCGUGUCGUGAGAUGUUGGGUUAAGUCCCGCAACGAGCGCAACCCUUGCCAUUAGUUGCCACUGGAAACGGGGCACUCUAAUGGGACUGCCGGUGACAAACCGGAGGAAGGUGGGGAUGACGUCAAGUCCUCAUGGCCCUUAUGGGUAGGGCUUCACACGUAAUACAAUGGCGCGUACAGAGGGUUGCGAAGGAGCGAUCUGGAGCCAAUCCCGCAAAGCGCGUCGUAGUCCGGAUUGCAGUCUGCAACUCGACUGCAUGAAGUCGGAAUCGCUAGUAAUCGCGGAUCAGCAUGUCGCGGUGAAUACGUUCCCGGGUCUUGCACACACCGCCCGU